This 22-nucleotide unclassified non-coding RNA is filed under the name Dictyostelium discoideum. Lineage: Eukaryota; Evosea; Eumycetozoa; Dictyosteliales; Dictyosteliaceae. The record is from RNAcentral.
GGACAUAUUGGAGUUUGCUAUU